CCCAUUUCUGAUUUCUUAUAAAGAGACCAAUAUGAUUUUAUUAUCAAACCACACUAAAAUACACAUACACCCAAAAGUCUAAUCUAAGUUCAAGAGUUCAAGUUCGGAGUUCAGUGCUUUCAAAAUCCAUCUCUUUGCUUGAAUCAAGUUCGCAAAAGUUUUGAGUACGACCCGAUUUGUGGAUUUUCUUUUGCUUGCUAAACUAAGGUAAUCAGGGAUAAUAUAAUAUGGGGAAUCAGUAAUGAGAGAUUAAUGGAUGUUCAAGAGUAUUUAAAGACUCUUUAUUUUGUUAAAUCAUGUACUUUUGAAUGAACUUAAGACUUAGGGUAUUUUGAGACGUGUAUGUCACCUUGAAUCCUAUCUUAUAUUAAGUGGAUUUAUUUUGGUUAUGAUAUUCGUAAUAGUGACGCUCGGACCUGCCCCGGGUUGGGGUAUUACACUCUGCUAAACUUGAUCUUUUUUAUAGUCUUUCUAAUGUAUUGUUUAUUAUUUACUGCUUAUGCAUUUGAUACAUAUGUAAUAAGGAUGAAAGUAAAGUAGUGAAUUUAGUAACUACACAUUUGUCA
Molecule: long non-coding RNA, 566 nt
Organism: Helianthus annuus (common sunflower)
Lineage: Eukaryota; Viridiplantae; Streptophyta; Magnoliopsida; Asterales; Asteraceae
Exons: 3
Source: RefSeq, a predicted model, not a curated record